RNAcentral lists this ribosomal RNA (466 nucleotides) under uncultured bacterium. Its description in RNAcentral is "partial 16S ribosomal RNA". It matches the Rfam family "Bacterial small subunit ribosomal RNA", at positions 28 to 507 of the family's 1533-position model. The record is from RNAcentral.
GAUGAACGCUGGCGGCGUGCUUAACACAUGCAAGUCGAACGAUGAAGCCCAGCUUGCUGGGUGGAUUAGUGGCGAACGGGUGAGUAACACGUGAGUAACCUGCCCUUAACUCUGGGAUAAGCCUGGGAAACUGGGUCUAAUACCGGAUAGGAGCGCCUACCGCAUGGUGGGUGUUGGAAAGAUUUAUCGGUUUUGGAUGGACUCGCGGCCUAUCAGCUUGUUGGUGAGGUAAUGGCUCACCAAGGCGACGACGGGUAGCCGGCCUGAGAGGGUGACCGGCCACAAUGGGACUGAGACACGGCCCAGACUCCUACGGGAGGCAGCAGUGGGGAAUAUUGCACAAUGGGCGAAAGCCUGAUGCAGCGACGCCGCGUGAGGGAUGACGGCCUUCGGGUUGUAAACCUCUUUCAGUAGGGAAGAAGCGAAAGUGACGGUACCUGCAGAAGAAGCACCGGCUAACUACGUG